This 73-nucleotide transfer RNA is filed under the name Niastella koreensis GR20-10. Its description in RNAcentral is "tRNA-Lys". The stretch from base 1 to 63 matches the Rfam family "tRNA". From Rfam's summary of the family: Transfer RNA (tRNA) molecules are approximately 80 nucleotides in length. Their secondary structure includes four short double-helical elements and three loops (D, anti-codon, and T loops). Further hydrogen bonds mediate the characteristic L-shaped molecular structure. tRNAs have two regions of fundamental functional importance: the anti-codon, which is responsible for specific mRNA codon recognition, and the 3' end, to which the tRNAs corresponding amino acid is attached (by aminoacyl-tRNA synthetases). tRNAs cope with the degeneracy of the genetic code in two manners: having more than one tRNA (with a specific anti-codon) for a particular amino acid; and 'wobble' base-pairing, i.e. permitting non-standard base-pairing at the 3rd anti-codon position. Lineage: Bacteria; Pseudomonadati; Bacteroidota; Chitinophagia; Chitinophagales; Chitinophagaceae. The record is from RNAcentral.
GAUCUCGUAGCUCAGUUGGUAGAGCAUCCCGAUUUUAUCGGGAGGGCCAUGGGUUCGAAAUCAAUCUUGCUAA